GUGGGGAAUAUUGGACAAUGGGCGAAAGCCUGACGCAGCCAUGCCGCGUGAAUGAUGAAGGUCUUAGGAUUGUAAAAUUCUUUCACCGGGGACGAUAAUGACGGUACCCGGAGAAGAAGCCCCGGCUAACUUCGUGCCAGCAGCCGCGGUAAUACGAAGGGGGCUAGCGUUGCUCGGAAUUACUGGGCGUAAAGGGCGCGUAGGCGGACAGUUUAGUCAGAGGUGAAAGCCCAGGGCUCAACCUUGGAAUUGCCUUUGAUACUGGCUGUCUUGAGUACGGGAGAGGUGAGUGGAACUCCGAGUGUAGAGGUGAAAUUCGUAGAUAUUCGGAAGAACACCAGUGGCGAAGGCGACUCACUGGCCCGUUACUGACGCUGAGGCGCGAAAGCGUGGGGAGCAAACAGGAUUAGAUACCCUAGUAGUCC
RNAcentral lists this ribosomal RNA (425 nucleotides) under uncultured bacterium. RNAcentral describes it as "partial 16S ribosomal RNA". It matches the Rfam family "Bacterial small subunit ribosomal RNA", at positions 354 to 796 of the family's 1533-position model. The record is from RNAcentral.